This 450-nucleotide ribosomal RNA is filed under the name uncultured bacterium. RNAcentral describes it as "bacterial SSU rRNA". It matches the Rfam family "Bacterial small subunit ribosomal RNA", at positions 354 to 796 of the family's 1533-position model. The record is from RNAcentral.
GUGGGGAAUCUUCCGCAAUGGGCGAAAGCCUGACGGAGCAACGCCGCGUGAGUGAAGAAGGUCUUCGGAUCGUAAAGCUCUGUUGAAGGGGACGCACGGCGCCUGCUACAAGAUAGCAGGUGAAUGACGGUACCCUUCGAGGAAGCCACGGCUAACUACGUGCCAGCAGCCGCGGUAAUACGUAGGCGGCAAGCGUUGUCCGGAAUCAUUGGGCGUAAAGGGAGCGCAGGUGGACGUAUAGGUCCUUCUUAAAAGUUCGGGGCUCAGCCCCGUGAGGGGAAGGAAACCAUGCGUCUUGAGUGCAGGAGAGGGAAGCGGAAUUCCUGGUGUAGCGGUGAAAUGCGUAGAUAUCAGGAAGAACACCAGUGGCGAAGGCGGCUUUCUGGACUGCAACUGACACUGAGGCUCGAAAGCCAGGGAAGCGAACGGGAUUAGAAACCCGAGUAGUCC